Molecule: ribosomal RNA, 251 nt
Filed under: uncultured prokaryote
Description: partial 16S rRNA
Rfam family: Bacterial small subunit ribosomal RNA
Source: RNAcentral
ACGGGGGAUGCAAGCGUUAUCCGGAUUUAUUGGGUUUAAAGGGUGCGUAGGCGGUUUGAUAAGUCAGCGGUGAAAUAUUUCAGCUUAACUGAAAGGGUGCCGUUGAUACUGUCAGGCUUGAAUAUGGUUGCUGUGGGUGGAAUGUGUGGUGUAGCGGUGAAAUGCUUAGAUAUCACACAGAAUAUCGAUUGCGAAGGCAGCUCACAAAGCCAUUAUUGACGCUGAUGCACGAAAGUGUGGGGAUCAAACAG